UAACGGGUGAGUAAUGCGUGACCAACCUGCCCCAUGCUCCAGAAUAGCUCUUGGAAACGGGUGGUAAUGCUGGAUGCUCCAACUUGACGCAUGUCUUGUUGGGAAAGUGUUUAGUGGCAUGGGAUGGGGUCGCGUCCUAUCAGCUUGUAGGCGGGGUAAUGGCCCACCUAGGCUUCGACGGGUAGCCGGCCUGAGAGGGCGGACGGCCACAUUGGGACUGAGAUACGGCCCAGACUCCUACGGGAGGCAGCAGUC
This 255-nucleotide ribosomal RNA is filed under the name uncultured Gardnerella sp. Its description in RNAcentral is "partial 16S ribosomal RNA". It matches the Rfam family "Bacterial small subunit ribosomal RNA", at positions 100 to 355 of the family's 1533-position model. Lineage: Bacteria; Bacillati; Actinomycetota; Actinomycetes; Bifidobacteriales; Bifidobacteriaceae. The record is from RNAcentral.